This 305-nucleotide ribosomal RNA is filed under the name uncultured bacterium. RNAcentral's name for it is "bacterial SSU rRNA". It matches the Rfam family "Bacterial small subunit ribosomal RNA", at positions 335 to 636 of the family's 1533-position model. The record is from RNAcentral.
ACACCUACGGGGGGCAGCAGUGAGGAAUAUUGGUCAAUGGGCGCAAGCCUGAACCAGCCAAGUCGCGUGAGGGAAGACGGCCCUACGGGUGGUAAACCUCUUUUGCCGGGGAGCAAGCCUGAGCACGUGUGCCCAGGCGGAGAGUACCCGGAGAAAAAGCAUCGGCUAACUCCGUGCCAGCAGCCGCGGUAAUACGGAGGAUGCGAGCGUUAUCCGGAUUUAUUGGGUUUAAAGGGUGCGCAGGCGGGCUGUUAAGCCGGCGGUAAAAAAUCAGGGCGCAACCCUGUCGAGCCGUCGGAAACAGG